RNAcentral lists this ribosomal RNA (254 nucleotides) under uncultured bacterium. Its description in RNAcentral is "partial 16S ribosomal RNA". It matches the Rfam family "Bacterial small subunit ribosomal RNA", at positions 524 to 776 of the family's 1533-position model. The record is from RNAcentral.
UACGUAGGUGGCAAGCGUUGUCCGGAAUUAUUGGGCGUAAAGCGCGCGUAGGCGGCCUCCGCAAGUCACUUGUGAAAUCUCCGGGCUUAACUCGGAAAGGUCAACUGAUACUGCGGGGCUAGAGUGCGGAAGGGGCAACUGGAAUUCUUGGUGUAGCGGUGAAAUGCGUAGAUAUCAAGAGGAACACCUGCGGCGAAGGCGGGUUGCUGGGCCGACACUGACGCUGAGGCGCGAAAGCUAGGGGAGCGAACGGG